RNAcentral lists this small RNA (96 nucleotides) under Leptospira biflexa serovar Patoc strain 'Patoc 1 (Paris)'. RNAcentral's name for it is "Flavo-1 RNA". It matches the Rfam family "Flavo-1 RNA". The record is from Rfam by way of RNAcentral. Lineage: Bacteria; Pseudomonadati; Spirochaetota; Leptospiria; Leptospirales; Leptospiraceae.
ACCGCGCCACCGAUUGGAGCGGAAAUCCUUUCCUAAUUCAAUGUAAUUUCUUUUUUCAAUCCAUUGGAAAGAUUGCAGCGGAAAGCGGGGUCGUGA